AUAACAUCGGAACUCAUGUACCAAAUACGCAAUUUAUGAAAGCAAUUGCUUGCUUAAAGGCUUCGGCAGCGUACUGGAGGGGAAACAAAGAUCGUGAGAGCUUACAAAGAGUUUAAGGGAUAUCUUACCCUGACCAAAAGCGUCUAAAGG
Helianthus annuus (common sunflower) is the source of this 150-nucleotide long non-coding RNA. RefSeq lists it as uncharacterized. Lineage: Eukaryota; Viridiplantae; Streptophyta; Magnoliopsida; Asterales; Asteraceae. The record is from RefSeq and is a predicted model, not a curated record. The transcript has 2 exons.